CAGUAGCCGCGGUAAUACGAAGGGGGCUAGCGUUGUUCGGAUUUACUGGGCGUAAAGCGCACGUAGGCGGAUCGAUCAGUCAGGGGUGAAAUCCCAGAGCUCAACUCUGGAACUGCCUUUGAUACUGUCGAUCUGGAGUAUGGAAGAGGCGAGUGGAAUUCCGAGUGUAGAGGUGAAACUCGUAGAUAUUCGGAGGAACACCAGUGGCGAAGGCGGCUCACUGGUCCACUACUGACGCUGAGGUGCGAAAGCGUGGGGAGCAAACAGGAUUAGAUACCCGAGUAGUCCCUGUCUCUUAUAC
Molecule: ribosomal RNA, 301 nt
Filed under: uncultured bacterium
Lineage: Bacteria
Description: partial 16S ribosomal RNA
Rfam family: Bacterial small subunit ribosomal RNA
Source: RNAcentral